This 254-nucleotide ribosomal RNA is filed under the name uncultured bacterium. Its description in RNAcentral is "partial 16S ribosomal RNA". It matches the Rfam family "Bacterial small subunit ribosomal RNA", at positions 524 to 776 of the family's 1533-position model. The record is from RNAcentral.
UACGUAGGGGGCGAGCGCUGUCCGGAUUUAUUGGGCGUAAAGAGCUCGUAGGCGGUUCAGUAAGUCGAGUGUGAAAACUCCGGGCUCAACCCGGAGCCUGCAUUUGAUACUGCUGUGACUUGAGUCCGGUAGGGGAUCACGGAAUUCUCGGUGUAGCGGUGAAAUGCGCAGAUAUCGGGAGGAACACCAAUGGCGAAGGCAGUGAUCUGGGCCAGUACUGACGCUGAGGAGCGAAAGCGUGGGUAGCAAACAGG